AACGAACGCUGGCGGCAUGCCUAACACAUGCAAGUCGAACGAGACCUUCGGGUCUAGUGGCGCACGGGUGCGUAACGCGUGGGAACCUGCCCUUAGGUUCGGAAUAACUCCCCGAAAGGGGUGCUAAUACCGGAUAAUGUCUUCGGACCAAAGAUUUAUCGCCUUUGGAUGGGCCCGCGUUGGAUUAGCUAGUUGGUAGGGUAAAAGCCUACCAAGGCGACGAUCCAUAGCUGGUCUGAGAGGAUGAUCAGCCACACUGGGACUGAGACACGGCCCAGACUCCUACGGGAGGCAGCAGUGGGGAAUAUUGGACAAUGGGCGAAAGCCAGAUCCAGCAAUGCCGCGUGGGUGAUGAAGGCCUUAGGGUUGUAAAGCUCUUUUACCCGGGAUGAUAAUGACAGUACCGGGAGAAUAAGCUCCGGCUAACUCCGUG
This 433-nucleotide ribosomal RNA is filed under the name uncultured bacterium. Its description in RNAcentral is "partial 16S ribosomal RNA". It matches the Rfam family "Bacterial small subunit ribosomal RNA", at positions 29 to 507 of the family's 1533-position model. The record is from RNAcentral.